GGGGAAUUUUCCGCAAUGGGCGAAAGCCUGACGGAGCAAUACCGCGUGAGGGAGGAAGGCUCUUGGGUUGUAAACCUCUUUUCUCAGGGAAUAAGAACUGAAGGUACCUGAGGAAUCAGCAUCGGCUAACUCCGUGCCAGCAGCCGCGGUAAUACGGAGGAUGCAAGCGUUAUCCGGAAUGAUUGGGCGUAAAGCGUCCGCAGGUGGUUUAUCAAGUCUGCUGUCAAAGAGUUUGGCUCAACCAAAUAAAGGCAGUGGAAACUGACAGACUGGAGUGCGGUAAGGGCAGAGGGAAUUCCUGGUGUAGCGGUGAAAUGCGUAGAGAUCAGGAAGAACACCGGUGGCGAAAGCGCUCUGCUGGGCCGUAACUGACACUGAGGGACGAAAGCUAGGGGAGCGAAUGGGAUUANAUACCCCANUANUCA
This 425-nucleotide ribosomal RNA is filed under the name uncultured cyanobacterium. RNAcentral's name for it is "bacterial SSU rRNA". It matches the Rfam family "Bacterial small subunit ribosomal RNA", at positions 356 to 796 of the family's 1533-position model. Lineage: Bacteria; Bacillati; Cyanobacteriota. The record is from RNAcentral.